UGGGGAAUAUUGCACAAUGGGCGCAAGCCUGAUGCAGCCAUGCCGCGUGUAUGAAGAAGGCCUUCGGGUUGUAAAGUACUUUCAGCGGGGAGGAAGGGAGUAAAGUUAAUACCUUUGCUCAUUGACGUUACCCGCAGAAGAAGCACCGGUUAACUCCGUGCCAGCAGCCGCGGCAAUACGGAGGGUGCAAGCGUUAAUCGGAAUUACUGGGCGUAAAGCGCACGCAGGCGGUUUGUUAAGUCAGAUGUUAAAUCCCCGGGCUCAACCUGAGAACUGCAUCUGAUACUGGCAAGCUUGAGUCUCGUAGAGGGGGGUAGAAUUCCAGGUGUAGCGGUGAAAUGCGUAGAGAUCUGGAGGAAUACCGGUGGCGAAGGCGGCCCCCUGGACGAAGACUGACGCUCAGGUGCGAAAGCGUGGGGAGCAAACAGG
RNAcentral lists this ribosomal RNA (429 nucleotides) under Chloroflexota bacterium. RNAcentral's name for it is "Chloroflexi bacterium partial 16S ribosomal RNA". It matches the Rfam family "Bacterial small subunit ribosomal RNA", at positions 355 to 776 of the family's 1533-position model. Lineage: Bacteria; Bacillati; Chloroflexota. The record is from RNAcentral.